Molecule: ribosomal RNA, 157 nt
Filed under: Cyanobium sp. NAT70
Lineage: Bacteria; Bacillati; Cyanobacteriota; Cyanophyceae; Synechococcales; Prochlorococcaceae
Description: partial 23S ribosomal RNA
Rfam family: Bacterial large subunit ribosomal RNA
Source: RNAcentral
CCGCUGAAAGCAUCUAAGUGGGAAGCCCACCUCAAGAUGAGUGUUCCCAUGGGGUAACCCAGUAAGGUCACGGGAAGAACACCCGUUGAUAGGCUCUACGUGGAAGUCCAGUAAUGGAUGCAGCGGAGGAGUACUAAUAGACCGAGGGCUUGACCAA